RNAcentral lists this ribosomal RNA (460 nucleotides) under uncultured bacterium. RNAcentral describes it as "partial 16S ribosomal RNA". It matches the Rfam family "Bacterial small subunit ribosomal RNA", at positions 338 to 795 of the family's 1533-position model. The record is from RNAcentral.
CCUACGGGAGGCUGCAGUGAGGAAUAUUGGUCAAUGGACGAGAGUCUGAACCAGCCAAGUAGCGUGAAGGAUGACUGCCCUAUGGGUUGUAAACUUCUUUUAUAUGGGAAUAAAACGUUCCACGUGUGGGAUUUUGUAUGUACCAUAUGAAUAAGGAUCGGCUAACUCCGUGCCAGCAGCCGCGGUAAUACGGAGGAUCCGAGCGUUAUCCGGAUUUAUUGGGUUUAAAGGGAGCGUAGGUGGAUUGUUAAGUCAGUUGUGAAAGUUUGCGGCUCAACCGUAAAAUUGCAGUUGAAACUGGCAGUCUUGAGUACAGUAGAGGUGGGCGGAAUUCGGGGUGUAGCGGUGAAAUGCUUAGAUAUCACGAAGAACUCCGAUUGCGAAGGCAGUUCACUGGACUGCAACUGACACUGAGGCUCGAAAGUGUGGGUAUCAAACAGGAUUAGAUACCCGGGUAGUC